UACGUAGGGUGCAAGCGUUGUCCGGAAUUAUUGGGCGUAAAGAGCUCGUAGGCGGUUUGUCGCGUCGGUUGUGAAAACCCAAGGCUCAACCUUGGGCCUGCAAUCGAUACGGGCAGACUAGAGUACUGCAGGGGGAGACUGGAAUUCCUGGUGUAGCGGUGGAAUGCGCAGAUAUCAGGAGGAACACCGAUGGCGAAGGCAGCUCGCUGGGACGGUACUGACGCUGAGGCGCGAAAGCGUGGGGGAGCAAACAGG
RNAcentral lists this ribosomal RNA (255 nucleotides) under uncultured bacterium. RNAcentral describes it as "partial 16S ribosomal RNA". It matches the Rfam family "Bacterial small subunit ribosomal RNA", at positions 524 to 776 of the family's 1533-position model. The record is from RNAcentral.